AUUGAACGCUGGCGGCAUGCCUUACACAUGCAAGUCGAACGGUAACAGGUCUUCGGAUGCUGACGAGUGGCGAACGGGUGAGUAAUACAUCGGAACGUGCCUAGUAGUGGGGGAUAACUACUCGAAAGAGUGGCUAAUACCGCAUGAGAUCUACGGAUGAAAGCAGAGGAUCGCAAGACCUUGUGCCACUAGAGGGGCCGGUUGCAGAUUAGGUAGUUGGUGGGAUAAAAGCUGACCAAGCCGACGAUCUGUAGAUGGUAUGGGAGGACGAUCAGCCACACUGGGACUGAGACACGGCCCAGACUCCUACGGGAGGCAGCAGUGGGGAAUUUUGGACAAUGGGCGCAAGCCUGAUCCAGCAAUGCCGCGUGCAGGAUGAAGGCCUUCGGGUUGUAAACUGCUUUUGUACGGAACGAAAAGCCCCGGGUUAAUACCCUGGGGUCAUGACGGUACCGUAAGAAUAAGCACCGGCUAACUACGUGCCAGCCGCCGCGGUAA
Molecule: ribosomal RNA, 498 nt
Filed under: uncultured bacterium
Lineage: Bacteria
Description: partial 16S ribosomal RNA
Rfam family: Bacterial small subunit ribosomal RNA
Source: RNAcentral